This is a long non-coding RNA of Gymnodraco acuticeps, 138 nucleotides long. RefSeq lists it as uncharacterized. NCBI's taxonomy places the organism in Eukaryota, Metazoa, Chordata, Actinopteri, Perciformes, Bathydraconidae. The record is from RefSeq and is a predicted model, not a curated record. The transcript has 3 exons.
UUCUCUUCCGAUCUCUGCGGGGUGCCCCGGCCGCUUUGGUGACUCUAGAUAACCUCGAGCCGAUCGCUGGCCCUCGUGGCGGCGACGUCUCAUUCGAAUGUCUGCCCUAUCAACUUUCGAUGGUACUUUCUGUGCCUA